AAAUAGGACUAUUUAUUUUUAAUGGGUAGAAGUAUCAAAAAAUGACUGCCUCAGAAAAGGAGUGUGUUUCCUGUCCCUGGCGGCACACAAGCAGAGGCUGUCCAGCCACCUGGAGAGGAUAUUGCAAAAAGAAAGGAGAAGUUAGACUUGGUGGCCUUCCAAUUCUGAGAGUCUUAAGUUUCUCAUAAGACCAGGAAGUGUCUAUUUCUGCCAGCUCUCCACCCCCACACUCCUCGUUAUUUUUCCCGGAAAUCCCACGAGGCUUGAGAGUUUUAUUUGCAGAUCCAGCCCUCAUACUCCAGCCUAUUUGACUUAAGAACCCGAUUUCUUUGAGAUUCACGAGGCUGGAUUUUAGUACUGUUUCUGUCUCCUAUUCUCUUUAUGAUCUUAGGAAAGAAAACUGUAGUUUGUGCCUGCCCGGCAUCACUUCCGCUUCUCUGCUAACAGUCCCUCCAUUUCCUUUGGUGACCAUUCCUCCUCUACCCUCAGUCCAUGAGGUUGUCUCAUCUCUAGGUCAGUCCAUGACCCAAGUGUAACCAUGGUGUGUUCCAGCUCCCUGGUUGCAGUAAUUGGCUCAGGAAUGGGCAUCUCAUUCUGGUUGGCACAAUCAGAUUCCACCCUAAGAUUUCUACCAGAAUUGUUGAAAAAGAGAUUAUCUUCCCUUGGAGAUUGCUAAGCUGGUACCAUGUAAACCUAGAUUUUCUGAGGUUUACCCCAGGGCAGAUCCUGCCUGAAAAUGAACUCAGCACAGGGGAGAGCAAAGCUAGGAGGCAGCUCGAACAAAUCCUGAUGACAUCAUUCAAAUGCCUGGAUCCAGUGGUACCUGACAUUAGACCUACUUCUAGAGUUUUUUAAUUAUGCUAGCCAAUACACUCAGGCUGUGUUUGGUUUUAAAAUUUUGGGUUACUGCAUUUGUGUUUUGUUUGUUUCUUAGAUAACAAGUUUGUUUCAAAUCCAAUCCAAUUUGAAUUGGAUUUCUAUUACCUAAACAAAUCAGACUAGGAACCAUGAGGUUGUGGGUUCAAUCCCUGGCCUUACUCAGUGGGUUGAGGAUCUGGUGUUGCCAUGACCUGUGGUGUAGGUCACAGCCAUGGCCCAGAUCUGAUGUGGCUGUGGUUGUGGCUGUGUCAGAGGCUGGCUGGUAUAGCUCCUAUUCUACCUUUAGCCUGGGAACCUCCAUAUGCCACAAGUGCGGCCUU
This 1199-nucleotide long non-coding RNA is filed under the name Sus scrofa (pig). Its description in RNAcentral is "lncRNA (ENSSSCG00065016858.1)". Lineage: Eukaryota; Metazoa; Chordata; Mammalia; Artiodactyla; Suidae. The record is from RNAcentral.